Molecule: unclassified non-coding RNA, 2341 nt
Filed under: Hevea brasiliensis (rubber tree)
Lineage: Eukaryota; Viridiplantae; Streptophyta; Magnoliopsida; Malpighiales; Euphorbiaceae
Source: RNAcentral
AAAAAAGAAAGCUGCUCUGCAAAGUGACUGAAUCUACUAUAGCAAUUGCAUCCACAAUCCACUGCAGCGCCAACAAUAGAGCGGCGGAGCAGAGAUGUCUAGCUCUCCUUCAAGACUGCAAUAGCCUUCCCAAACUCACCCAAGUCCACACCCACAUCCUCAAAUUGGGUCUCCAGAACAAUCCUCUUGUCCUCACCAAGUUCACUUCCACAUCCUCUGAUAUUUACGCCAUUGACUAUGCUUCCUCUUUCUUAUUCUCACCGGAAUCGGAUACCCGUUUAUAUGAUACCUUUCUCUUCAAUACCAUCAUCAGAGCUUAUGCUCAAACUAAUCAUUCGAAGGACAAAGCUAUAUGCAUGUAUAACCUCAUGCUUGAAUAUAAUGUUUUGCCUAAUAAGUUCACAUACCCUUUUGUCCUCAAGGCCUGUGCGGGUAUUGGAAACUUGAAUUUGGGCAAGUCUCUUCAUGGUUCAGUGUUGAAAUUUGGAUUUGACAAUGACGUGCAUGUGCAGAAUACAAUGGUGCACAUGUAUUGCUGUGGCAGAGGAGGGAUUGAGUUUGCACGUAAGGUGUUUGAUGAAAUGGGAAAAAUGGACUCUGUUUCGUGGAGUGCGAUGAUUGGUGGGUAUGCACGUUUAGGGAUGUCCACUGAUGCAGUUAGUUUGUUUAGGCAAAUGCAGAUCGCAGGUGUUUGUCCUGAUGAGAUUACUAUGGUAUCUGUUUUGUCUGCCUGUACAGAUUUAGGUGCUCUUGAACUUGGGAAGUGGGUAGAGUCCUAUAUCGAGAAAGAAGGAGUUCAAAAGACAGUUGAGCUUUGUAAUGCUCUGAUUGACAUGUUUGCUAAGUGUGGUAAUGUUGAUAAAGCUAUCAAAUUGUUUAGGAACAUGGAAGAGAGAACCAUUGUUUCGUGGACUUCUGUGAUUGUUGGCUUGGCAAUGCACGGUCGUGGUGUAGAGGCUGUUGCAUUGUUUGAAGAGAUGAUAGGAAGUGGGGUGGUGCCAGAUGAUGUUGUGUUUAUUGGGCUGCUCUCUGCUUGCAGUCAUUCUGGGUUAGUUAAUAGGGGAAGAGAUUAUUUUGACUUGAUGGUAAAGAAUUUUGGCAUAGUACCUAAAAUUGAACACUACGGAUGCAUGGUUGAUAUGUUGUGCAGGGCAGGACUCAUUAGAGACGCAUUGGAAUUUGUUCAGCAAAUGCCUAUUGAGCCCAAUCCUAUUGUUUGGCGUACUCUAAUUAAUGCUUGCCGUGCCCAUGGUGAACUCAAGCUUGGAGAAAAAAUCACCAGACAGCUUAUUAGAAAUGAGCCCAUGCACGAGUCCAACUAUGUACUACUCUCCAACAUUUAUGCCAAAAUGUUCAACUGGGAAAAGAAAAUGAGGAUUAGAGAGUUGAUGGACAGGAAGGGAAUGAAGAAGAUCCCUGGGAGCACUAUGAUUGAGUUGGGCAAUGAAAUUUAUGAAUUUGUGGCUGGAGAUAAAUCUCACUACCAGUACAGCGAAAUAUUUGAAAUGGUGGACGAGAUGGGAAGGGAGAUGAAGCAGGCUGGGUAUGUCCCAACUACAUCAGAGGUUUUGCUUGAUAUUGACAAUGAAGACAAGGAAGACACUUUGAACACACAUAGUGAAAAGCUGGCUAUUGCUUUUGCCCUUCUGAACACCCCACCUGGAACUUCUAUUAGAAUUGUGAAGAAUCUGCGAGUUUGCAGUGAUUGUCACUCCGCUACUAAGUUCGUCUCUAAGAUAUAUAAUCGAGAAAUAAUAAUGAGAGACCGGAACAGGUUUCACCAUUUCAAGGAUGGGAUGUGCUCAUGCAGAGAUUUCUGGUAAUAAACUUGGUACGGUUUCAUGAUGUUGCUGACUGGGUAGAUUCUCGUGACAAAUUACAGAGCACUUGGUCGUGAAUUUAACCUGCCCCAUGGUAAUUUACUGGUGCUGACGUUUUCUCCAACUAGAAAUUGACCAUUUUGUGUGACAGUAAGACCAUAUUUUUCCGCCAACCUUCGCUCCAUUCUGUCAUCUCAAGAUUGCAGCUUAAAGGAUCAUCAGGUGGAAGUAGUAAGGGGCAUUUCCUGUGUGCAACUGAGGAUAGAAUAGCGCAUACCAUGCAUUUAUGUUUGGCAGUCAUGAUCAUAUAUGCUUCCUCUGAACCCAACUUUUCUGUAGGAGUUUGGUCUAGGCAGAAAAACCAGUUCUUACGUUGAUUAGGUAUGCUACAAAAACCUUUUUUUUUAUUUUUAGAUUUAGCUCAUCAUCAAUUUACGUGCAAUCCAAAGAACAAUGAGUCAGGAUUGUAUUUUUAUCGAAUACUUGCAUUGCAGGUCGUAAUUAAUGAAAAUGGACUUUAU